UAUCUCUGUAGAGUCUGCAUAUCAAUAAGCGGAGGAAAAGAAACUAACUAGGAUUCCCACAGUAACGGCGAGUGAAGCGGGAAGAGCUCAAAUUUGAAAUCUUCAAGGUUUUACCUUGACGAAUUGUAGUUUAAAGAAGUGUUUUCUGUUGGAGUUUUGGUAAAAGUUCUUUGGAAUAGGACAUCAUAGAGGGUGAGAAUCCCGUAUUUGACCAUUAUUUUCAGCUGUGUGAUACACUUUCAAAGAGGUCGGAUUGUUUGGGAAUGCAGUCCAAAAUGGGUGGUAAAUUUCAUCUAAAGCUAAAUACUGGCGAGAGACCGAUAGCGAACAAGUACCGUGAGGGAAAGAUGAAAAGAACUUUGAAAAGAGAGUUAAACAGUACGUGAAAUUGUCAAAAGGGAAGCGUUUGACACCAGUGUUGUUUUCUCGAAAAUCAAUUAAAAAAGGCAGGAUUUUGUGUUGUAUUGACUUUAUCAGCUUUCUGCACUCUUUUCCUUGUCUUUUUUAAUGCACUUUUCGUUUAACAAGUCAACAUCAAUUUCUUUUGUUGUAAAAGGGUCAUUGGAAGGUGGCUUUCUUUUCGGAGAAAGUGUUUAUAGCCUUUGGCCUCUGCAAUCGGAGAGAUUGAGGUCUGCAGCGUAGAUCCUUCGGGGUUAGAUACAUUUGUGCUAAGUUAUAGCCUUUCAUAGACAACUUGUUGACUAUGAUCAGUCAUGUAGCUUACUCGCUUAUGCUAUUUUACCUACGCUUAGGAUGUUGAGUCAUCACACAUCUCU
Molecule: ribosomal RNA, 776 nt
Filed under: uncultured Neocallimastigales
Lineage: Eukaryota; Fungi; Neocallimastigomycota; Neocallimastigomycetes; Neocallimastigales
Description: partial large subunit ribosomal RNA
Rfam family: Eukaryotic large subunit ribosomal RNA
Source: RNAcentral